RNAcentral lists this ribosomal RNA (253 nucleotides) under uncultured bacterium. Its description in RNAcentral is "partial 16S ribosomal RNA". It matches the Rfam family "Bacterial small subunit ribosomal RNA", at positions 524 to 776 of the family's 1533-position model. The record is from RNAcentral.
UACGGAGGGGGCAAGCGUUAUUCGGAAUUAUUGGGCGUAAAGGGCGCGUAGGCGGCUAGAUGUGUCAAAGGUGAAAUCCCUCGGCUCAACCGAGGAACUGCCCUCCAAACUGCUUGGCUUGAGACCGGGAGAGGUGAGUGGAAUUCCCAGUGUAGCGGUGAAAUGCGUAGAUAUUGGGAGGAACACCAGUGGCGAAGGCGGCUCACUGGACCGGUACUGACGCUGAGGCGCGAAAGCGUGGGGAGCAAACGGG